CAAGAAAGAAGUUGGAUGGUUAGAUGUCACUGAAGGACAGAACUGGGAGUUUGGAGGUGAUUGCCGGAAGUGGGCGGAGCACGAGGAAAGCCAUGUUUGGACCGGGCAGCAAGCCGGAAGUUGGUAGAAGGCUUCAUCCACCCUCUGACUAGCAGAUAAACAUCUGGGCUCAGAAGGCAACAGAAGCAGGCUUCUCUUCUGGUUCUCCUUAGCCAUGGAUCCUCUCUCAGAACUGCAAGAUGACCUGACCCUGGAUGAUACCAGCCAAGCCCUGAACCAGUUGAAGCUGGCCU
This 293-nucleotide long non-coding RNA is filed under the name Rattus norvegicus (Norway rat). RNAcentral describes it as "long non-coding RNA NONRATT018360". Lineage: Eukaryota; Metazoa; Chordata; Mammalia; Rodentia; Muridae. The record is from RNAcentral.